Molecule: transfer RNA, 61 nt
Filed under: Nyssomyia flaviscutellata
Lineage: Eukaryota; Metazoa; Arthropoda; Insecta; Diptera; Psychodidae
Description: tRNA-Ile
Source: RNAcentral
AAUAAGUUGCCUGAUUAAAAGGAUUAUUUUGAUAGAAUAAAUUAUAUGAAACUUCAUACUU